RNAcentral lists this long non-coding RNA (1598 nucleotides) under Marmota monax (woodchuck). Lineage: Eukaryota; Metazoa; Chordata; Mammalia; Rodentia; Sciuridae. The record is from RNAcentral.
CUAUUCUGGUUCCUCACAGAGUUCUAGGCAAAUAGUGGCUGCUGGGCAAAUAUUACAUGAAUGAGUGAAUAAAUACAUUUAAACUUGAUAGUGAUGAAAAGUAAUACUAUCUCCAUUUUACAGAUGUUGAGGCAUAGAGGGACUUAGUGACUCACCUCUGAUCACAUAGCUAAAAAGUUGAGGAAUCUGAAGAUUGAGGGUGGGUGCCUGAAGUUAGGCUCUUUCUAUUUCCCUGAGCAUGUCCCUCCUGAAAACUGCCCCAAGCAAGUGUCACAACCACAUUCUAUGUCUUUGUAACAGAAAUGGACCACACCCUACUUGAAAUAGUAUCAGGGAAUCAUAGAAUGGAAGAACAACUAAGAAACUGGAGAAGAGCUUGGGUUCAAGUAGUAGAAGUAAAAGUUGAGCAAAGCCCAUACUGGGCAUCCAAAAAGGAAAAGAAAAGCAAAUGUCCAUUGCAAGUUGUGGCAUCCUAAGCCAGAAAUGAGUCAUCCCCUCAAGAGGCUAUGCCCCUCUCCUCCCCCAGGAGGUCUUAAUGGAGGAGAAGAGGGGCAGAUGAAGCAGUCUAUCACAAUGCCAUCUUUGAAUGCCAGAUGGACUUUUCUUUAGAAGUUUCUUGAGUGUUGAAAGUGAGAACUCACAUGUCUCCCAAUCCACCCCACACACUCCACCAGUCUGGUUUUUAUUUUUAUUUUUUUCUGUUGCUUCUGUUGUUGUUCACACUUUCCUGUAGGGUCAUUUCAAAUUCCUAUUUCCUGAUGACACAACAUCCUUCUGUAAUCAGCUGGCAGCGGGUACAGCCUGCGAAAACUUCAGGUAGCAGCCCUGCCUGGCACCAUUUUCAGCAGCAUCCUGUUCACAACUUUCCAGUUUGACUCCAAAUGCCAAUUUUGGUUUGUGAAAAUUUCCAUGGCCUCCUGCUAGGCUACUCUCUACAUAUUCCAGCUUAUAGCACAGUGAUCUCUUGGGCUGGGCCCCAGCCCCCAUCCUGUGCUCUGUGCUAUCAUUACUUCACAGAGGACGUUUUUUUUUUUUUUUUUUGGUACUGGGGAUUGAACUCAGGGACACUGGACCACUGAGUCACAUCUCCAGCCCUAUUUUUUAUUUUAUUUAGAGACGGGGUCUUGCUGAGUUGCUUAGCACCUCACUUUUGCUGAGGCUGGCUUUGAACUUGCGAUCCUCCUGCCUCAACCUCCCGAGCCGCUGGGAUUACAGGCACGCACCACCAAGCCCAGCCUGACACUUUUAACAUUGGUAAUGAGCAGUGACUUCAGACAUAGCCCAACAACCCCACUUGGGAGGAGGGGCAUACUGGAGGAACCCAGAGAGGGUAAGGAACUCUGUUAUAGUUAUAUGUUCCAAUUGUGACAGAACCAGGACUUGGAAACCAAGGCUUUAAGUCCACUACCCCAGGCUUCUUCAUGAAAAAAGGCUGCUAAAUUAGGAAGGUGAGGUUCUUGCAAUUCUGCUACAGUAUGCCAAAGAGUCUACAAUUCUAGAGUUACAAGGAGGCCCUGCAUUUUCUGUUGGAAUAAUUGAUUCAGGAUUUUCCCUUAGCAGCCUCCUCUGUUGUCGGGCUCUGGGCUAAGCAUUUACUG